This is an RNA transcript of Hipposideros armiger (great roundleaf bat), 959 nucleotides long. It is a transcript of the gene named family with sequence similarity 174 member C, with no coding region annotated. The transcript has 2 exons. The record is from RefSeq and is a predicted model, not a curated record. Lineage: Eukaryota; Metazoa; Chordata; Mammalia; Chiroptera; Hipposideridae.
GGCCACUGGCUGGGUGUUUCCAAACGCCCGGCCCCGCCCUCACGGGCCAUUGGCUGGCCCCGCCCACGAGCGACGGGCUUGUAUGGGUGGGGCGUAGCCUCCGUUUCCGCCGGGCCAUGGGGCCGUACGUGCUGUCGCCAUCGCUCCUGCUGCUGCUGGCGCUAGUGCUGUUAGCGCUGCUUUGCGGAGUUCGGGAGGCCGCGCUCCCGUCGUCGUGCCCCACGCAGGCCAUGGUUUCGCUACCUCAGGCCGUGACGAACGGGAGCCAGCCGGGUGCACCGCACAACGGCACGCACCCGGGACCGCUGGGCUCGCCGGGCUCACCGGGCUCACCAGGCUCACCGCUGCUGCGCUCCUUCUACGUGCUCAUGGGCCUCAGUGGUCUGGUCGCGCUCUACUUCCUCAUCCGGGCUUUCAGGUGCGUCAGGCGCACGCUGCCUGUGCGGCCAAUCAGCGCGCGCCGCGCGCCUCACGUGUUGGGGCGCGAGAACCCCGCCUUUCCGGAGCGGGCGUGGGCCCUUUCGCGGCUGCGUCAGGUGGUUGGGGUGUGUGGGAGGGUGACAGGAGGUCACGUGAUGCCCUGGUGCAUCUUAACGCUGGGUCAAGGAUGCGGAUUUCCCAGACGCGUCAACCCAGGCUGCACUGAACGGUGCGGUGCGGCGUGUGCCCACUUUGUGCCUCUGCUCUGUACUUUCCUUGCCGGGUAACGCCCACCAACCCCACCUGGGCCUGAGAUCCCCGCCGGCUGCAAUCCUCCCCAUCCAGCCCUGAGCGUGGAGUGGAGUGGAAGGGAUGGCCCGCUGGGCAGGGCCUGACGGAGCCGCGGCAUCAUCCUCUGGCUUUUUCAGUCCCGGAGUUGGCAGCGAUCAGUUGAAGAAACCCCAGCGGAGGAGUUACGGCCUCCUGGCCAACACCGAGGACCCCACCGAGAUGGCCAUUCUGGACAGCGAUGAGGAGAC